GAAUCAUGAUGAAACUGCCAAACCUGAUACGUUGAUGAGAAACUUCAUACGGAUCUGGCUACUGAGUU
Small nucleolar RNA from Bubo bubo (Eurasian eagle-owl), 68 nucleotides. The record is from Ensembl. NCBI's taxonomy places the organism in Eukaryota, Metazoa, Chordata, Aves, Strigiformes, Strigidae.